GGAGAAAGGGAUGCUCAAAUUGAAGCAGGAAUGUUCCAGGAAUGAGAAACAGCUCUCUCUUCUCCUCACGGACAGAGCUCCCACACAUUCUUGGAUUUCCAAAGCCACGGUGGCAUCGACCAGGAGAGGAGCUUUUCUGAAGUCCAGGAAGCUGUUGCGAGGUGACAUCAUAGCCCCCAAGGCCCACUGAGCAGAAUCUGGCACCAAGUGAUGCUUCUAUCUGCCCAUCAUCUUACCCCUUAGGUAUGUGUCACAGUGACCAUCCCCAGUUUCAAAGUCAGGCACUCCUUCCUACAUUAUUAAGGUGCAAAGACAUUAUUGGAGAUGAGCUAUAAGUUUAUAUGUAUAAAUUUAUCUCUGUGCUUGUUACUUUUAGCUUCAGAAUCCCUCAUCCUCAGCUGUCAACUCCAGCCCAACAUGGUUCUGUCAACCUGCAAUAUUGUUAUUUAUAAGAAUUAUAUAUUUGUAUUGUCAUCCAGAUGACCGAAAUAUAUUUCUCAGAGAUAUUUGGUCUUCAGCCAUCGCUCUUGGAUCAUAGCUCCUUGGAAUUUCCUGAAGGAUAAGAGCAAUGGGAACACCUUUCAUUAUGAUAUUUGGUCUCUUGUCCACAGUUCCUG
Molecule: long non-coding RNA, 617 nt
Filed under: Vulpes vulpes (red fox)
Lineage: Eukaryota; Metazoa; Chordata; Mammalia; Carnivora; Canidae
Description: lncRNA (ENSVVUG00000009388.1)
Source: RNAcentral